Molecule: RNA transcript, 4120 nt
Organism: Phyllostomus discolor (pale spear-nosed bat)
Lineage: Eukaryota; Metazoa; Chordata; Mammalia; Chiroptera; Phyllostomidae
Gene: TSPAN3
Gene name: tetraspanin 3
Exons: 8
Source: RefSeq, a predicted model, not a curated record
CCCUCCCGGCGGGACUCUGUUGCUAGGGCGCGGGCGCAGGGGGUCGGGGUACUGCAGCGGCUGCGCAGAGGAGCGAGGUGCUUGCUGGGUCCUGGGCUGUGAAACUACGCCAGGGGAUUUGGGGAUCGCCGCGCAAGUCUGUGCGUUUCCCAGGCGGGUGGCGCCCUCGCCCUUGGGGCUCGCUAGGUGGGCGCUUCCGGCUCGCCAAGCAGGGCCCCAGCGACUUUCCGCACCAUGGGCCAGUGUGGCAUUACCUCCUCGAAGACUGUGCUGGUGUUUCUUAACCUCAUUUUUUGGCAGCCGUGGUUUCUGGCACCAUGCCAGGGGACUUUCCCUGUCAGCCUAUAAAACAUCCUUACCGCCCGUUUUGAAGCAUCCUCUGCACAUGUUGGCUUCCAAACUUCAUAUCAGGUAAGAUUCUGUUGAUUGUUCACUAUGUUUAUUUGAACCAUCAUCUAAGCCCAGUUGGGUUCAGGAGCAAGUAGGCUCAGCUUCCACCUACUUUGCCUCCAUCUUCCACUCUUCUACUAACAAGUAUUUUAAAAACCCAAAUCAGUGUAAUUUCUCCAUCCAGAGAUACUGGGUUGGCCAAAAAGUUUGUUUUUUCCCAUAAGAUGGCUGUAGUAGCGCUUAUUUGUCUCUAACUUUGUUUGAUUGUAUUGUGACAGCUGUCAUUAUCAGUGUGUAUUUAAAAAAACUUAUCAAAAUUGGUGAAAUUUUGUGUAGCCAUUUUAAUAGUGAGGCUGGAAGAAAAUACUUAACAUUUUCAGCAUAUUAUGUUUUAUUAUUUCAAGAAAGGUAAAAAUGCAACUGAAAGUCAAAAAAAGAUUUGUGCACUGUAUGGAGAAGGUGCUGUGACUGAUUGAAUGUGUCAGAAGUGGUUUUCAAAGUUUUGUGCUGGAGAUUUCUUGUCUUUUUCUUUUUACAAAAUAGUCAUUAUUUAUAUUUUCAAAAAGAAAAAAAUUAACAUUUGGAACUUCUCCCCUGUAGGAAGAAGGGUGAACUGGAAGGGACAGGACUGACUCCUACAUAGGCACAGGUACCAACAGCUGAGCAGUUGGGCCUGGGAUUUUUCACACAGCAUUAAUAAUAAAAUUUCCUUUUCUCUUUGUGUGUGUGUGUUUAGAAAAGGGAGUGGUGAGGAAUAAGAAGUAAAAUCAGAGAAAAAUGCCAGAAAACAUUUUCCAUAAUAUCUAAAAACAGAACCAGAGUUCUUGUCAAGAUAGUAUGAAUUCUGGGUAAAUUACUUUUUUUUCCAGUUCUUGACACUUAUAAAGAUUUUCUGAAACUUUUCUCAAUAUAAAUAGUACUGGAAUCCACAAAUUGAUUUUUGAGAAAUUCUGCAAAAAUCCUUUUUCUUCUUUCCUUUUCUUUCCCCUUGUCUUAAAACUAAAUGUUCUUCUUUCUUUUUCCUUUUUGCUCCAGGCACCUGAUGAUUUGUUCUGCUCUGUCAGAUGCAGACAGGUUUCUCCAAGUACCACACCACUAGCAUGUCCUCAGGGCCAGUGCCUAAGCUGAAUCCCCACAGGAUCAAACUUGGUCAGGCCAAAGGGAACACAGUGACAUGGCAACAGGGUUUUCAUUAGGUUGAAUAGCCCUGAGUCCCUGGCCCUUCCCUCCCCCUAUUUCCCCCAAGUUCAUUUAGUGUUGCUUUAAAAGUCUGGGGCCACAAUGCAGUCUUUCCCCCAUAGCAGAGUAAAAACUCCACAGAUUGCGCUGUCUACCUGGUGGUCAGUGGCAGCAACAGUGACUGCUGCUUCUGGAAAAUAAAUGUAGUCUUACAACAGCAAGAUGUUAGGAUUGCUUCAGGUGCUUGUGUGGGGGACCCAGACAGAGGCACUGUGCUGAAGCCAGAGAGUGGGAUGCUUCAGCCACCAAGUGGGAAUGUGACACCACCAUGGACUUCCACCCAGAGGUUUCCAAGAUAUCUGCAGCAUGAUAGUUGAUGAAAUCCACUGCCAGAGUUUUCAAUUGAUCUGCACUGGGGAGGUCAGCCAAGAUGAGAAUUUCUGCAGCGUUCUCCACGGAGAGGUUACUGCAGAGGGCAUCCUCAUACAUGACCUUUAAACAUUCCAGGGCAUACUUGUCAGCAGCUGCCAGCAAAUCAUCAGGCAUUUUGUCCAGGUUUGGAGCCUCCCUGUGUAAAUGAAGCACAUCAUUUCCUUAAAGACUUCAGGCUGCACAUCAUUGAUUUCAAACCAAUUCUUUUUGCUUUCUUCCAUUUCAUGUUCAAAUAUGGCACUAAACACUGGAGAAAGAGAUACUAAGAUAGCUUUGUGAGCCUGGAAUUCCUGGCCAGCAACACACAACAGUCUGAACCAGGAAUUCUCCCACAGUCCUAACUCAUCGGCCAGUUGGCACUUGGGAACCUUCACCACAUUCAUGGUAUUCUGGCCAGAAAUGUUGACAGAAUCUUGCACCACACUCACCUCACAGAAGAGGGUAAGGUUGUAUCAGGGAGAAGCCCAUUGGCUUCAUCCUAGAGAAAAAUCUCUGUGGAUGAAUUUUUUGAAGCCCCCGUCUUUGUCUUGCACAAACUUAUAUGCCCCUUGACUCUCCAUAGCUUUGGUUUCUUCUCCCUUGGCAUUCGGGAUGGAGAAUUUGAAUUUUGCCCGAACUUCACUGUUUGGACAGCUGACCAGUAACAGGUAAAGUGACAGGGGGCAGCUGGCAUUUUAUGCUAUGUGGGAGCAUAUGUCUUCAUCACUUAUGAUGAUUAUGACCACUUCUUUGAAGAUGUGUACACUCUCAUCCCUGCUGUAGUGAUCAUAGCUGUAGGAGCUUUGCUUUUCAUUAUUGGACUAAUUGGCUGCUGUGCCACAAUCCGGGAAAGUCACUGUGGACUGGCCACGUUUGUCAUCAUCCUACUCUUAGUUUUUGUCACAGAAGUUGUUGUAGUGGUUUUGGGAUACGUUUACAGAGCAAAGGUGGAAAAUGAGGUUGACCGCAGCAUUCAGAAAGUAUAUAAGACCUACAGUGGAACCAGCCCUGAUGCUGCUAGCCGGGCUAUUGAUUAUGUACAGAGACAGCUGCACUGUUGUGGAAUUCACAAUUACUCAGACUGGGAAAAUACAGACUGGUUCAAAGAAACCAAAAACCAGAGUGUCCCUCUAAGCUGCUGCAGAGAGACCGCCAGCAGCUGUAAUGGCAGUCUAGCCCAUCCCUCCAACCUCUAUGCCGAGGGGUGUGAAGCUCUAGUUGUGAAGAAGCUACAAGAAAUUAUGAUGCAUGUUAUCUGGGCAGCUCUGGCAUUUGCAGCUAUUCAGCUGCUGGGAAUGCUGUGUGCAUGCAUCGUUUUGUGCAGAAGGAGUAGAGAUCCUGCUUAUGAGCUUCUCAUCACCGGUGGAACCUAUGCGUAGUACAAAACUCAAGCCUGAGCUAGUUGGUCUCUUAUUCUGAUUUGGAAGGACAAUGGAGCAGGUCUACUGCUGUCAGCCUCCAGAGUUCAUUUAGUUAAAGCCCAUGUGUUGGACACAGCAGCUUGGUUCUUCAUGUGCCCACUUACUUAACCUACCAACAAUUUUCUUUUCCCCUCUUCUAGCUGACUCACAAUGUCUCUCUGUUUUUAAGCACCAUGGUCAACGUUCUAAUUGCAGAACCAUUUGCAAUUUGCCUAGUGUGGUGAAAUUAAAAGAGGGAGUGGCUGCUUCUCUUACCUCCCAGCAGCAGUUGGCCUCUUGCUGAAGUACCACUGGGCCCUGCUAGGCUUCACAGUGGACAACUGUGGGCCAAAGGAUUUUGGGGGAAGGGGAGUUAACACCAGAUGACCCUCAUGAGUGUCCUUUAAAAAAUAUAUUUACUGUAGUCCAGUAUGAUUGCAGCUGUACAAAAUGGCUACAAUUGAAUUUAGAAUCAUGCAAUGUGUAUCUUGGUUCAUAUUCAAAAUCAGAGUGAUCUUUGAAAUGAGGUUUUUAAUCAAAGCUGGCUUUAUAGGAGGAGUAUAAUGUAUGCACUACUGUCUUAAAACAAUUAGUGUGGGGGGGGGUUAUGUUUGAACCCAUUCAUUGUAAGUUUAAAUUUGUUAGAAAUAAUGUACCCAUGUAGACUAGCAACCUAUUAUGUAGAUGUGAUCUCAGUUGUAAAUAGAAAACUCUAAUUCAAUAAACUCUGUAUUACCUCU